This 468-nucleotide ribosomal RNA is filed under the name uncultured bacterium. RNAcentral describes it as "partial 16S ribosomal RNA". It matches the Rfam family "Bacterial small subunit ribosomal RNA", at positions 28 to 507 of the family's 1533-position model. The record is from RNAcentral.
GACGAACGCUGGCGGCGUGCUUAACACAUGCAAGUCGAACGGCAAGGCCCUGCUUUCGUGGGGUGCUCGAGUGGCGAACGGGUGAGUAACACGUGAGUAACCUGCCCUAGACUUUGGGAUAACUUCAGGAAGCUGGAGCUAAUACCGGAUCGGAGCUCCUGCUGCAUGGUGGGGGUUGGAACGUUUCGGCGUUUGGGGAUGGACUCGCGGCUUAUCAGCUUGUUGGUGGGGGAGUGGCUUACCAAGGCUUUGGCGGGUAGCCGGCCCGGGAGGGUGACCGGCGACAUUGGGACUGAGAUAGGGCCCAGACUCCUACGGGGGGCAGCAGGGGGGAAUAUUGCACAAUGGGCGGAAGCCUGAUGCAGCAACGCCGCGUGCGGGAUGACGGCCUUCGGGUUGUAAACCGCUUUCGCCUGUGACGAAGCGUGAGUGACGGUAAUGGGUAAAGAAGCACCGGCUAACUACGUG